Molecule: ribosomal RNA, 449 nt
Filed under: uncultured bacterium
Lineage: Bacteria
Description: partial 16S ribosomal RNA
Rfam family: Bacterial small subunit ribosomal RNA
Source: RNAcentral
AACGAACGCUGGCGGCAUGCCUAACACAUGCAAGUCGAACGAGAUCUUCGGGUCUAGUGGCGCACGGGUGCGUAACGCGUGGGAAUCUGCCCUUUGGUUCGGAAUAACAGUUGGAAACGACUGCUAAUACCGGAUGAUGACGAAAGUCCAAAGAUUUAUCGCCAGAGGAUGAGCUCGCGUAGGAUUAGCUAGUUGGUGUGGUAAAGGCGCACCAAGGCGACGAUCCUUAGCUGGUCUGAGAGGAUGAUCAGCCACACUGGGACUGAGACACGGCCCAGACUCCUACGGGAGGCAGCAGUGGGGAAUAUUGGACAAUGGGCGAAAGCCUGAUCCAGCAGUGCCGCGUGAGUGAUGAAGGCCUUAGGGUUGUAAAGCUCUUUUACCCGGGAUGAUAGUGACAGUACCGGGAGAAUAAGCUCCGGCUAACUCCGUGCCAGCAGCCGCCGUAA